Molecule: ribosomal RNA, 366 nt
Filed under: Zeugodacus depressus (pumpkin fruit fly)
Lineage: Eukaryota; Metazoa; Arthropoda; Insecta; Diptera; Tephritidae
Description: partial 12S rRNA
Rfam family: Microsporidia small subunit ribosomal RNA
Source: RNAcentral
AGUCUAUUCAGAGGAACCUGUCCUGUAAUUGAUAAUCCACGAUGAACCUUGCUUAAAUUUGUUUUUCAGUCUAUAUACCGUCGUUAUCAGAAUAUUUUAUUAGAAUAAUAAUUUUCAAUAAUUUUAAUAGGAAUGCAUAUCAGAUCAAGGUGUAGCUUAUGUUUGAGUAGAGAUGGGUUACAAUAAAUGUAUUUAAACGGAUCUAAUUUUGAAAUAUUUUUAGUGAAGGUGGAUUUGAUAGUAAAAUUUUAAAGAUAGUAGAUUUGAUUUUAGCUCUAGAAUAUGCACACAUCGCCCGUCGCUCUUACUAUUAAGGUAAGAUAAGUCGUAACAUAGUAGAUGUACCGGAAGGUGUAUCUAGAAUGA